RNAcentral lists this microRNA precursor (63 nucleotides) under Echinococcus granulosus. Its description in RNAcentral is "microRNA egr-mir-10230 precursor". The record is from miRBase by way of RNAcentral. Lineage: Eukaryota; Metazoa; Platyhelminthes; Cestoda; Cyclophyllidea; Taeniidae.
GCAUUUAUAUCAAAACGUCAGGUUUUGGUGGAAAAGAAAACAUGGCGUUUUGGUAAGAAUGCU